This 497-nucleotide ribosomal RNA is filed under the name uncultured bacterium. RNAcentral describes it as "partial 16S ribosomal RNA". It matches the Rfam family "Bacterial small subunit ribosomal RNA", at positions 28 to 507 of the family's 1533-position model. The record is from RNAcentral.
GAUGAACGCUGGCGGCGUGCCUAAUACAUGCAAGUCGAGCGAACAGACGAGGAGCUUGCUCCUCUGACGUUAGCGGCGGACGGGUGAGUAACACGUGGAUAACCUACCUAUAAGACUGGGAUAACUUCGGGAAACCGGAGCUAAUACCGGAUAAUAUAUUGAACCGCAUGGUUCAAUAGUGAAAGACGGUUUUGCUGUCACUAAUAGAUGGAUCCGCGCCGCAUUAGCUAGUUGGUAAGGUAACGGCUUACCAAGGCGACGAUGCGUAGCCGACCUGAGAGGGUGAUCGGCCACACUGGAACUGAGACACGGUCCAGACUCCUACGGGAGGCAGCAGUAGGGAAUCUUCCGCAAUGGGCGAAAGCCUGACGGAGCAACGCCGCGUGAGUGAUGAAGGUCUUCGGAUCGUAUAACUCUGUUAUUAGGGAAGAACAAAUGUGUAAGUAACUAUGCACGUCUUGACGGUACCUAAUCAGAAAGCCACGGCUAACUACGUG